This 258-nucleotide small RNA is filed under the name Arabidopsis thaliana (thale cress). RNAcentral describes it as "ATSL090700". The record is from RNAcentral. Lineage: Eukaryota; Viridiplantae; Streptophyta; Magnoliopsida; Brassicales; Brassicaceae.
UAGGCUCAUCUAUGAUGGUUCAAAUAACAAAUACCUAUGGCGGGAAUACCUAUUAUCUAAUAUAAAGUUCUAGGUGAUCAAUCUAAAACUAGCUAUAAGAAUAAUCAAGAUGAAGAACUCUAAGAAUAAUCCUAAGGGGUUUUCGAUCUACUAAUCCAUCUAAAUCCCUAUUGAGACUCCCUAGACCCAACAAGGUGAUUACUCGGACAUGACAAUAGAAACACAAAUCAUAAUAUGAAUAGUUUUCAUUGAUGAAUU